CCUACGGGAGGCAGCAGUGGGGAAUAUUGGGCAAUGGGCGCAAGCCUGACCCAGCAACGCCGCGUGAAGGAAGAAGGCUUUCGGGUUGUAAACUUCUUUUGACAGGGAAGAGCAGAAGACGGUACCUGUCGAAUAAGCCACGGCUAACUACGUGCCAGCAGCCGCGGUAAUACGUAGGGGGCAAGCGUUGUCCGGAUUUACUGGGUGUAAAGGGCGUGUAGCCGGGCUGACAAAGCAGAUGUGAAAUCCGGGGGCUCAAACCCCGAACUGCAUUUGAAACUGUUGGUCUUGAGUAUCGGAGAGGCAGGCGGAAUUCGUAGUGUAGCGGUGAAAUGCGUAGAUAUUAGGAGGAACACCAGUGGCGAAGGCAGCCUGCUGGACGACAACUGACGGUGAGGCGCGAAAGCGUGGGGAGCAAACAGGAUUAGAUACCCCUGUAGUC
This 442-nucleotide ribosomal RNA is filed under the name uncultured bacterium. RNAcentral describes it as "partial 16S ribosomal RNA". It matches the Rfam family "Bacterial small subunit ribosomal RNA", at positions 338 to 795 of the family's 1533-position model. The record is from RNAcentral.